AUGACUGUGAGGGAAACUUUAGACUUCUCAGCCCAGUGCCAAGGUGUUGGAAGAAGACCAAAAAUACUCAAGGAGGUGAACACAAGGGAGAGUGUGGCUGGGAUCAUACCUGAUGCGGACAUCGAUCUAUACAUGAAGGUAGUAGCAGUUGAAGCUUCAGAGCGAAGCCUACAGACAGAUUAUAUUUUGAAGAUCAUGGGGCUAGAGAUAUGUGCAGACACGAUGGUUGGGGAUGCAAUGAGAAGAGGAAUAUCAGGGGGGCAGAAGAAAAGAUUAACCACAGCCGAGAUGAUUGUGGGCCCUGCAAAAGCAUACUUUAUGGAUGAAAUAUCAAAUGGUCUGGAUAGCUCUACCACUUUUCAUAUAAUCAAUUGUUUCCAGCAACUGACAAACAUCAGCGAGUACACGAUGGUUAUUUCACUUCUUCAACCAACACCUGAGGUAUUUGAUCUUUUUGAUGACCUCAUACUAAUGGCAGAAGGGAAGAUUAUCUACCAUGGCCCUCGAAAUGAAGCUCUCAAUUUUUUUGAGGAGUGUGGGUUCAUAUGCCCAGAAAGAAAAGCGGCAGCUGACUUUCUCCAAGAGAUCUUGUCCUGGAAGGACCAACAACAGUACUGGUUGGGUCCACAUGAAUCAUACAGAUAUAUCUCACAUCAUGAAUUAUCAAGCAUGUUCAAGGAGAAUCACAGGGGGAGAAAACUAGAUGAGCAAAGUGUACCUCCCAUAAGCGAGUUGGGCAAGGAAGCUUUAGCACUCAAUAAGUAUUCGCUACGAAAACUGGAAAUGUUCAAAGCCUGUGGAGCAAGGGAAGCACUCCUAAUGAAAAGUAAUAUGUUUGUUUAUGUCUUCAAAACAGGCCAGCUUGCCAUUAUUGCACUCGUAACAAUGUCUAUAUUCCUUCGAACUCGCAUGACAAUAAGUUUCACUCACGCAAAUUACUACAUUGGAGCAUUAUUUUUUUCCAUCUUCAUGAUUAUGCUAAAUGGCAUACCAGAGAUGAGCAUGCAGAUUGGGAGACUCCCAAGUUUUUACAAGCAAAAGAGCUACUAUUUCUGUUCAUCAUGGGCAUAUGCAAUACCAGCUUCAGUCCUAAAGGUCCCUGUUUCGAUACUAGAUUCGCUUGUAUGA
RNAcentral lists this ribosomal RNA (1128 nucleotides) under Triticum aestivum (bread wheat). RNAcentral's name for it is "partial small subunit ribosomal RNA". Lineage: Eukaryota; Viridiplantae; Streptophyta; Magnoliopsida; Poales; Poaceae. The record is from RNAcentral.